This 332-nucleotide ribosomal RNA is filed under the name uncultured eukaryote. RNAcentral's name for it is "partial 18S ribosomal RNA". It matches the Rfam family "Eukaryotic small subunit ribosomal RNA", at positions 592 to 976 of the family's 1831-position model. The record is from RNAcentral.
CAAUAGCGUAUAUUAAAGUUGUUGCAGUUAAAAAGCUCGUAGUUGAAUUUCGGGUCCCCGCGCUCGGCGCUUCAUUGUGCCGUCGUGGUGUCCCUCCUCGCCGUAAGGCGUCCUUUACUGUGAAAAAAUUAGAGUGUUCAAAACAGGCAAUCGCUUGAAUACAUUAGCAUGGAAUAAUAAGAUAGGAUCUUGUCUAUUUUGUUGGUUGCGGACAACGAUAAUGAUUAAUAGGGAUAGUUGGGGGUGUCCGUAUUGAGCUGUCAGAGGUGAAAUUCUUGGAUUUGCUCAAGACGAACUACUGCGAAAGCAUUCACCAAGGAUGUUUUCAUUAA